Molecule: ribosomal RNA, 298 nt
Filed under: uncultured bacterium
Lineage: Bacteria
Description: partial 16S ribosomal RNA
Rfam family: Bacterial small subunit ribosomal RNA
Source: RNAcentral
UAAGGCCUACGGGGCGCAGCAGUAGGGAAUUUUCGUCAAUGGGCGCAAGCCUGAACGAGCAAUGCCGCGUGAACGAGGAAGGUCUUCGGAUCGUAAAGUUCUGUUGAAGGGGAAAAAGAGCGGAGAGAGGAAAUGAACUCCGAUUGAUAUUACCCUUCGAGGAAGUCACGGCUAACCACGUGCCAGCAGCCGCGGUAAUACGUAGGUGGCGAGCGUUAUCCGGAAUGAUUGGGCGUAAAGGGUGCGUAGGCGGCCUGCUAAGUCUGGAGUGAAAGGUACCGGCUCAACCGGUACAGGC